GGCAGAGUUGCCGCGUCUUCUGAAGCACUGGGUGUGUGCGGAGAGGGAAGGAGCCGGUCGGUGCCGGCGGCCCACAGCAGCCAAGGAAAGGGGUGAUUGGGCAGAGGGGAUUUAAAGGGAAGUGACUCAAAUCAAACCGUCUCUCAUAACCAAGAUCUGCCCCAUAGAAGCUGACGGCCAGGGGCAGAGGAAGCAUGUCAUUCCUCUCCUUCCUCCACCAUCCCCCCAUCCUCCCUCCCCAAUUUUUUUCUUUACAUUUGAGUAAAAAUCAUUCUGUUUUUGA
Ornithorhynchus anatinus (platypus) is the source of this 283-nucleotide long non-coding RNA. RefSeq lists it as uncharacterized. Lineage: Eukaryota; Metazoa; Chordata; Mammalia; Monotremata; Ornithorhynchidae. The record is from RefSeq and is a predicted model, not a curated record. The transcript has 2 exons.